RNAcentral lists this ribosomal RNA (244 nucleotides) under uncultured bacterium. RNAcentral describes it as "partial 16S ribosomal RNA". It matches the Rfam family "Bacterial small subunit ribosomal RNA", at positions 796 to 1041 of the family's 1533-position model. The record is from RNAcentral.
CACGCAGUAAACGAUGAAUACCAGUUCUCCGCCGCGAUCGAGCGGAGGGGGACACAGCGAAAGCGUUAAGUAUUCCACCUGGGGAGUACGCCGGCAACGGUGAAACUCAAAGGAAUUGACGGGGGCCCGCACAAGCGGAGGAACAUGUGGUUUAAUUCGAUGAUACGCGAGGAACCUUACCCGGGCUUGAAUUGCAGAGGAACAUAGUUGAAAGAUUAUGGCCGCAAGGUCUCUGUGAAGGUGC